RNAcentral lists this transfer RNA (68 nucleotides) under Pheidole fervens. RNAcentral's name for it is "tRNA-Val". Lineage: Eukaryota; Metazoa; Arthropoda; Insecta; Hymenoptera; Formicidae. The record is from RNAcentral.
UAAAUUUUAGUUUAAAUUAAAAUGAUUCAUUUACAUUGAAUAGACUUUAUAACAGGUAAAAAAUUUAA